This is an RNA transcript of Homo sapiens (human), 5860 nucleotides long. It is a transcript of the gene named transmembrane p24 trafficking protein 5, with no coding region annotated. The record is from RefSeq and is marked validated. The transcript is spliced from 5 exons. Lineage: Eukaryota; Metazoa; Chordata; Mammalia; Primates; Hominidae.
GGAGAACUGCGCUUCUCUUUCGGAGGGAGUGUUCGCCGCCGCCGCGGCCGCCACCUGGAGUUUCUUCAGACUCCAGAUUUCCCUGUCAACCACGAGGAGUCCAGAGAGGAAACGCGGAGCGGAGACAACAGUACCUGACGCCUCUUUCAGCCCGGGAUCGCCCCAGCAGGGAUGGGCGACAAGAUCUGGCUGCCCUUCCCCGUGCUCCUUCUGGCCGCUCUGCCUCCGGUGCUGCUGCCUGGGGCGGCCGGCUUCACACCUUCCCUCGAUAGCGACUUCACCUUUACCCUUCCCGCCGGCCAGAAGGAGUGCUUCUACCAGCCCAUGCCCCUGAAGGCCUCGCUGGAGAUCGAGUACCAAGUUUUAGAUGGAGCAGGAUUAGAUAUUGAUUUCCAUCUUGCCUCUCCAGAAGGCAAAACCUUAGUUUUUGAACAAAGAAAAUCAGAUGGAGUUCACACGUGUAUAAGAAGUAAAAAUGGGCCAGGCACUGCGGUUCACGCCUAUAAUCCCAGCACUUUCCGAGGCCAAGUGUAGAGACUGAAGUUGGUGAUUACAUGUUCUGCUUUGACAAUACAUUCAGCACCAUUUCUGAGAAGGUGAUUUUCUUUGAAUUAAUCCUGGAUAAUAUGGGAGAACAGGCACAAGAACAAGAAGAUUGGAAGAAAUAUAUUACUGGCACAGAUAUAUUGGAUAUGAAACUGGAAGACAUCCUGGAAUCCAUCAACAGCAUCAAGUCCAGACUAAGCAAAAGUGGGCACAUACAAACUCUGCUUAGAGCAUUUGAAGCUCGUGAUCGAAACAUACAAGAAAGCAACUUUGAUAGAGUCAAUUUCUGGUCUAUGGUUAAUUUAGUGGUCAUGGUGGUGGUGUCAGCCAUUCAAGUUUAUAUGCUGAAGAGUCUGUUUGAAGAUAAGAGGAAAAGUAGAACUUAAAACUCCAAACUAGAGUACGUAACAUUGAAAAAUGAGGCAUAAAAAUGCAAUAAACUGUUACAGUCAAGACCAUUAAUGGUCUUCUCCAAAAUAUUUUGAGAUAUAAAAGUAGGAAACAGGUAUAAUUUUAAUGUGAAAAUUAAGUCUUCACUUUCUGUGCAAGUAAUCCUGCUGAUCCAGUUGUACUUAAGUGUGUAACAGGAAUAUUUUGCAGAAUAUAGGUUUAACUGAAUGAAGCCAUAUUAAUAACUGCAUUUUCCUAACUUUGAAAAAUUUUGCAAAUGUCUUAGGUGAUUUAAAUAAAUGAGUAUUGGGCCUAAUUGCAACACCAGUCUGUUUUUAACAGGUUCUAUUACCCAGAACUUUUUUGUAAAUGCGGCAGUUACAAAUUAACUGUGGAAGUUUUCAGUUUUAAGUUAUAAAUCACCUGAGAAUUACCUAAUGAUGGAUUGAAUAAAUCUUUAGACUACAAAAGCCCAACUUUUCUCUAUUUACAUAUGCAUCUCUCCUAUAAUGUAAAUAGAAUAAUAGCUUUGAAAUACAAUUAGGUUUUUGAGAUUUUUAUAACCAAAUACAUUUCAGUGUAACAUAUUAGCAGAAAGCAUUAGUCUUUGUACUUUGCUUACAUUCCCAAAAGCUGACAUUUUCACGAUUCUUAAAAACACAAAGUUACACUUACUAAAAUUAGGACAUGUUUUCUCUUUGAAAUGAAGAAUAUAGUUUAAAAGCUUCCUCCUCCAUAGGGACACAUUUUCUCUAACCCUUAACUAAAGUGUAGGAUUUUAAAAUUAAAUGUGAGGUAAAAUAAGUUUAUUUUUAAUAGUAUCUGUCAAGUUAAUAUCUGUCAACAGUUAAUAAUCAUGUUAUGUUAAUUUUAACAUGAUUGCUGACUUGGAUAAUUCAUUAUUACCAGCAGUUAUGAAGGAAAUAUUGCUAAAAUGAUCUGGGCCUACCAUAAAUAAAUAUCUCCUUUUCUGAGCUCUAAGAAUUAUCAGAAACAGGAAAGAAUUUAGAAAAACUUGAGAAAACCUAAUCCAAAAUAAAAUUCACUUAAGUAGAACUAUAAAUAAAUAUCUAGAAUCUGACUGGCUCAUCAUGACAUCCUACUCAUAACAUAAAUCAAAGGAGAUGAUUAAUUUCCAGUUAGCUGGAAGAAACUUUGGCUGUAGGUUUUUAUUUUCUACAAGAAUUCUGGUUUGAAUUAUUUUUGUAAGCAGGUACAUUUUAUAAAAUGUAAGCCCUACUGUAAGGUUUAGCACUGGGUGUACAUAUUUAUUAAAAAUUUUUAUUAUAACAACUUUUAUUAAAAUGGCCUUUCUGAACACUUUAUUUAUUGAUGUUGAAGUAAGGAUUAGAAACAUAGACUCCCAAGUUUUAAACACCUAAAUGUGAAUAACCCAUAUAUACAACAAAGUUUCUGCCAUCUAGCUUUUUGAAGUCUAUGGGGGUCUUACUCAAGUACUAGUAAUUUAACUUCAUCAUGAAUGAACUAUAAUUUUUAAGUUAUGCCCAUUUAUAACGUUGUUUAUGACUACAUUGUGAGUUAGAAACAAACUUAAAAUUUGGGGUAUAGAACCCCUCAACAGGUUAGUAAUGCUGGAAUUCUUGAUGAGCAAUAAUGAUAACCAGAGAGUGAUUUCAUUUACACUCAUAGUAGUAUAAAAAGAGAUACAUUUCCCUCUUAGGCCCCUGGGAGAAGAGCAGCUUAGAUUUCCCUACUGGCAAGGUUUUUAAAAAUGAGGUAAAUGCCGUAUAUGAUCAAUUACCUUAAUUGGCCAAGAAAAUGCUUCAGGUGUCUAGGGGUAUCCUCUGCAACACUUGCAGAACAAAGGUCAAUAAGAUCCUUGCCUAUGAAUACCCCUCCCUUUUGCGCUGUUAAAUUUGCAAUGAGAAGCAAAUUUACAGUACCAUAACUAAUAAAGCAGGGUACAGAUAUAAACUACUGCAUCUUUUCUAUAAAACUGUGAUUAAGAAUUCUACCUCUCCUGUAUGGCUGUUACUGUACUGUACUCUCUGACUCCUUACCUAACAAUGAAUUUGUUACAUAAUCUUCUACAUGUAUGAUUUGUGCCACUGAUCUUAAACCUAUGAUUCAGUAACUUCUUACCAUAUAAAAACGAUAAUUGCUUUAUUUGGAAAAGAAUUUAGGAAUACUAAGGACAAUUAUUUUUAUAGACAAAGUAAAAAGACAGAUAUUUAAGAGGCAUAACCAAAAAAGCAAAACUUGUAAACAGAGUAAAAAUCUUUAAUAUUUCUAAAGACAUACUGUUUAUCUGCUUCAUAUGCUUUUUUUAAUUUCACUAUUCCAUUUCUAAAUUAAAGUUAUGCUAAAUUGAGUAAGCUGUUUAUCACUUAACAGCUCAUUUUGUCUUUUUCAAUAUACAAAUUUUAAAAAUACUACAAUAUUUAACUAAGGCCCAACCGAUUUCCAUAAUGUAGCAGUUACCGUGUUCACCUCACACUAAGGCCUAGAGUUUGCUCUGAUAUGCAUUUGGAUGAUUAAUGUUAUGCUGUUCUUUCAUGUGAAUGUCAAGACAUGGAGGGUGUUUGUAAUUUUAUGGUAAAAUUAAUCCUUCUUACACAUAAUGGUGUCUUAAAAUUGACAAAAAAUGAGCACUUACAAUUGUAUGUCUCCUCAAAUGAAAAUUCUUUAUCUGAAAUUUUAAAAGACAUUGAUUCCACAUGUAAGGAUUUUUCAUCUGAAGUACAAUAAUGCACAAUCAGUGUUGCUCAAACUGCUUUAUACUUAUAAACAGCCAUCUUAAAUAAGCAACGUAUUGUGAGUACUGAUAUGUAUAUAAUAAAAAUUAUCAAAGAAAAUUAACUGCCAGUCAUUUGUAAAUGCUGUCUACUCCUGAAAGCCUUCCUUCAUCUCUAUUUAGUUAAUAAUGUGCUCUCUCCUCCUGUUUUGAAACCCCAUAGCUCUCUACACCUCUUAUUGUACAUCACUCUACUUUGCAUUGGAGUUCUGUUUCUAUAUGUACUUAUUCACCUGUUGCCUAAACAUGCACUGUUCCUAAAAGGUACAGUUUUUGCUCAAAAUAUAUGAAAGGAAAGAUAAUCAGUUCUUAAAGUUUGGUAUGCUAAAUAAGCACCCAGGGAACUUACCUGCUCCACCUCACCCCAGAAAUUGAUUAUUCAGGUCUGGAAUAUGGCUCAGGAUUCUUAAUUUUCAACCAACACAAUAUAGAAUCCUGUCAGUUAUCCUUGGAUCAUUUGCUAAGUGAUCUUGCAAAAUCAAAACUCCUUUGAGACUAUUUCAUUUUCAGAAAUAUUUUAAAACUUGUUCAGAAACAUCUUAAAACUUGUUAGCAUAUAGGAAAAGUACAAUGCUUGGUGUAGGUAGGUUAUUAUUUGGUCAUUUCCCUCAAACCAUCCAGACAAGCCACUCUUCUACCACAAGCUGGUAGAAAUCCUUAGGCACCUUUCUGCUUCUGCACUGCUAUCACUUUCAGGUGUCUAAGGCUUCUGGAAGGCUGUUGUCAUAACCUGGAGCCAUACACCUAAUGUACGUCUGGGGAAAGGACACCAAUUAAAGAAUCUAGAGCUAGGAUGAUGUUACAUAAGACAGGGCACAAUGGAGAUGGACUCUGGAUCCCUGCAUCUGAAAGAAAAAGGCAAGAAAAUGCAGGGCAGGGAAAAUCCUGAAGGUCUUCACUGACCAUGAAUUAAAAUCCUAAUUGACAGUUUUACAAACAAAAACCCUCGUUUUAGUACUUGUGUUGUUUUUGUUUCUGUUUUAACAAGCUUAGAUUUAUUAUUGUGCCUUUUAUGGAAGAUGAGGAAGAAAUAGGAAAGCAGUAAAAUGAACAAUGAGAAUCUGUUACCCAAACUGAUAUAAACUCCCUCAGAAAGAAAGAUACUACUCCCUAAUCCUGGAAGUGUUAAGUGGCAAUAAUGAUCAAAUGUUGUAAAGGGGAUUGUUACUACAGCUAAUAUGAAAUGGGAGGCUGGACUAAAUCUAACCUUUCUACCCUUGAUUUCAAUUCUAAAAGGACACGUAAUACCAUUGCAGAAAGAAAAGACAGUUCCAAAUGAUAAAUUUUAGAGUUGUUUUGCUAGGAUGCAAGAGAAAUUGGAUAAGUGGACCACUCAUACGUUGCUGGUGAGAUAUGAAAUAGUAGAGCCACUGUGGAAAAUAUUCUUGGCAGUUUCUUAUAAAACUAAACAUACAUUUAACAUAUAACUGGCAUUUGUACUACUUGACAGUUAUCCCUGAGAAGUUAAAACUUAACAUUCACAAAUGUUACAUAGCACCUUCAUUUAUAAUAGCCAAAACCCGGAAACAACCUGGAUGUCCUUCAAAAAGAGUGAAUGGUUUAGUAUGUCCACACCAUGGAAUACUAAAUAGUAAUAUGAAGGAACAAACUACUGAUACAUGUAACAAAUUGCAUGGACCUCAAGGGAAUUAUGCUUGGGUGGUUUGGGGGGACAAUCCUAAAGUUUUACACACUGUAUGAUUCUGUUUUUGUAACAUUCUUAAAUAAUAAAGCUAUAGAGAUGGGAAACAAGAUUCGUGGUUGCCAGGUCUUGGGACUGAAGGGAAGGAGAAUGUGGCUAUAAAGGGAGCCUUGUGGUGGAAAAGUUCUGUAGUUUGAUUGUGGUGAUUACAUAAAUAUACAUGUGAAAUGUUAGAAGUAUUUAUAGCUGAAACAUAUUAGUAUGUUGGUAUAUACAUAUUUCUGACUAAUUAAUUUCGCCAUGUUGCCCAGGCUGGUCUCGAACUCCUAAGCUCAAGUGAUGUGCCCGCCUCAACUUCCCAAGUGCUGAGAUUACAGGCGUGAGCCACCAUGUCCGGCCUGUUUUUUCCUAUGCAUGCAUAAUUACGAUCAAGUUUAAUUUGUAAUUAGGCACAUUAAGAGAUUAACAAUAGCUAACAAAAUGGAACAAUUACAACAAUAUAUUGUAAUAAAAGUUAUGCAAAUGUG